CGUUCUGGCCACAGCAAGAUCAGCUGCUUGGAAGGAUCAGCUAUGGCAGAGUUCGAGGAGGUUUUGGCUUGCUGUGAGAAAGGGCUUUUCUGAAAAAGAAUAUUUCAAUUUUCCUUUAAUAAAGCAAAGGAAGUAGAGUGCAAGCCUGUUGGGUCAGCUGGGGGAGUGAAAUGCUCUUCACCUCUGCUGGUGGCUGCUGGAGGAGGUACUCGCACCCCACAGCCUUGGUGGGGUCUCCGCUCUGAAGCGUGUGGGGGGAGCCUGGCUGCUGUCUGGUGGGGUGGGUGUCCCUGCCUCUGCCAUAGACUCAGCCCUUGCCUGGACCAGCUGGCAGUCGUGAAGAUUAAAGAAAAGACUAAAUUAAACUUGCUGUGACAAGGUAUGAGCUUAGAUCCUUGAAUACGAAAGGAGUAGAGCUGGGAGCAAACAUCAAUGCUUGGGCUCUGCCCUUUGCUGGAUUUCUCCAAGGCAUCUCGGGUAUCUGUGGCAACAGCGCUGAUCCAGGAAGGCUCUGUUGUGCAGAGAGCAUCCGCCUCUUCGUCUGCUUUCCUGGUGAAUCUGGGAAGCUGGUGAGCGGAAGACCAGGAGCAGUUGACACGGGAGAGCUCUUUGACCUUUCCACCCCUUGUUUUGGUAAGGAAGGUGUACAGCAGCUCUUUUUCUUAACCCGGACACCCUUGCUGCUCCUCCUCUUUUUCCUCAGCUUCCUUCCUGGGUAUUUUCUGGCAGGAAGGCCACUCCAGGACGUGUUACCACGUGUGCCCAUGGAAAACCCUCUCUUUGGUCCUGUUUAGCAGCGUUGGACCCAGAGCUUGGGUUGAUGAAAAUGGCUGAUGGCAAAGAGGACCCUGCCGUGUUCACCUCCACUUCUCUGCCCUCAGACCCACGGCUGCUGGCUACGGUGACUAAUGCUUACCUGGGCACCCGUGUGUACCGGGACAUCCUCCACAUCAACGGCGUGUACAACGGGGCAGUGGGAGACACGCACCGUGCCGACAUCCCCAGCCCCGUUAACGUUAGGAUGAUGGUGCCUGGUGCGGACAGCCUGGCUGAGACCUUCACCUUGAACACCCGGACGGGAACCUUCAGCCAUGUGCUUCAGGCAACAGAUUAUGGAGCCACCCAUCAGAUCUAUGCUCACCACUCCCUUGUCCACUUGAUGGCCUUCAGCAUCACCAUCUGGCGAUCAGCUCACACCACCCAACCCAUCACAGUCCAGCUCCAGACUCCUUUUGUGCCAAAGAGCCAGGACUUGGACCUGAACCAAGGACCAGAUUUCCAGGGAGCACACUACGUCUACGGGAAGACGCUGGUUCCUGAGGUGGAGGGGGGACCCCGUCCCACAGUUCACAUGCUCUGGACUCCCGUGCCACAAACCUUGACGUUGUGCGGGGAGGAGCGGGAGCGAUCCUGGGAGUUCCUGACGGCUGUGGCCGAGAGCGAAGAGGAGGCGAAGAGGAGCUACAGCGAAGGGCUGGCCCUCGUCACUGCUGGCUCCCUGCACUCCUCCCAUGUCCACGCGUGGGCCAUGCUGUGGCGAGGCUGCUGCGUAGACCUGGAUGGACCUCUGCCUUUGAGGCAGGCCCUCUACGGGUGUCUCUACUACCUGCUGAGUGCCAUCCCGCCCCAGGGAAACCCGGGCUUCCUCUUCCACGGCAUCAGCCCUGGCGGCUUGUCCAACGGCACUCAGGGCGAGGACUACUGGGGGCACGUCUUCUGGGACCAGGACACCUGGAUGUUCCCAAACAUUCUGCUGUUUUAUCCUGAAGCUGCCAGAGCCAUCCUGGAGUACCGGAUUCGCACGCUGGAAGGGGCCUUACGCAAUGCACAGGAGCAAGGCUACAAGGGUGCUAAGUUCCCAUGGGAGAGUGCAGCCACCGGCCGGGAAGUCUGCCCUGAAGAGAUCUAUGGAGCCCAAGAAAUCCAUAUCACUGGGGAUGUUUUGAUGGCUUUUGAGCAGUAUUAUUGCACCACGCAGGACCAGAAGCUGUUCAGGGAAGAUGGAGGCUGGAAGCUGGUGGAUGCUGUGGCUCAGUACUGGUGCAGCAGGAUGGUAUGGAGCGAGGAGGAGCAAUGCUACCACAUCAAAGGUGUCAUGCCCCCAGAUGAGUAUCAUUACCGGGUUGAUAACUCUGUUUACACCAACGCCGUGGCCCAGCGGAGCUUAAAUUUUGCAGCUGAUAUUGCUCGGGACUUCUUGAUCCCUGUGCCAGAGGAGUGGGUGGACUGUGCCAAGAAAAUCAAAGUGCCCUUUGAUGCAGAGAAGAAAUAUCAUCCGGAGUACGAUGGUUACAGCCCAGGUGAACCUGUGAAACAAGCUGACGUUGUCUUGCUUGGAUUCCCACUGAUGCACCCCAUGAGCUCUGAAGUCCGGAGAAAUGACCUGGAGAUGUAUGAAUCCGUCACUGAGCUGGAUGGGCCAGCCAUGACCUGGAGCAUGUUUGCAGUGGGCUGGCUGGAGCUAAAGGAGGUGCAGAGAGCCCAGAGCCAACUGAACAAGUGUUUCAGCAACAUCACAGAGCCCUUCAAGAUCUGGGUGGAGAACUCAGAUGGGUCAGGAGCUGUGAACUUCUUGACCGGGAUGGGUGGAUUCUUGCAAGCUGUCCUCUUUGGCUACACAGGGUUCAGGGUCACAAGGUCCAGCCUCCGCUUCAACCCUGCCCUUCCCAAUGACAUCAACAAGUUGAAAGUCACCGGUGUCUCCUACUUUGGCAACAAACUGAAGUUCACCAUCGCCAAAGAAGAGAUCAGGAUCAAAGUGAUCGAGUCUCGCCAGGACCCCCUGGCACCUCCCCUGGAAGCUGUGCUGGAGGAGUCGGGGCAGUGGUUUCCCCUGCGUGAAGGGCAGAGCAUCUCUAUCCCCAUGGCAGCCGGCUGGAUUCAGAGGUCAUCCACUGAGAUAUUUUAAAACUUGGCUGAUCCGGGUUUUACCCACCGAAGAAGCAGAAACAAGUUGAAGAGUGGAUGUCAGUGGAGGGGGAAGAGGAGACAACAUCAAGUCUGAAAGCGACUGUUUUAAACCAGUUUUCUAAACACCCAUGACUUGCAGAUGUUGAAAGCAUAAACAUUUAUAAGGAUGCCCCAAGCUGAAUGGAUCUGUAUUUAGUCCAGCCUGUACAGGCACUGUCUCCCAGCUCCUCUGGCAUGUCCUGGCUUGGUCCUCACCUUCUCCCAGCCACCUGCGUCACUCCGGGGGCUCAAAGGGCUGUGGAGGCUCAGCCACCGCUGCUUUGCCAUGUCAGUCCCACCUGCCAGCGAGCAGAAAGAGGAGGAUCCCUCGGCUGCGACGCACAGCAGCCUCUGGGGUUUUCAAUACACCCCAAAUCCUGCUGACCCCCGUAAUGAGAAACUCAGUAAAAGCAGCAUGGGGCAGCAGGCAGCGUGGCAGGGUGGAUGGAAGUAAGGCUGGAGUUGAGUGUUACUUUGGCACUAAUGUUAGUCACAAAAUACACAGCCAAAAGCAUUUUAGCCCCAUUUGGGCAGCACACAGCUCCUUUUCUUUUGAGUUAUUUGGCGUAUAAAAUCCCUAUCGUGUUAUCUACAUUAUCAUCUCUCUUUUCAAGCAGUUUUGGAGUUAAAGCCCUUCAAACUUGACAUUUGAAGGGCUAUAGGAAGCCCAGGCAUCAGUUAUCAUUAAUAUUAUGUCAGAUGGUAAGUGCAGAGUUUUUCUGGGGUCUGAGCAGAGUCCUCCUCUGGCUAAGCAGCCUCAGGGAAAGCACAGACCUGCUGUGUAUUUGUUAAAGGCAUUUUUGGUGUCCUAGAAAGCCCCAAGGGAGAGGAGAAGGGCUGUGCCCAUGUACACAUGCAAAUGGGGGCCAUGAUGCCCCCCCAACACACAGCUUACACCUCGCAGCAUUGUCCCCUCCUGCAUCCCCCUUCCUGGGGGUGGGUUUGGUGCCUCGUUUCCCAGCCCCAAGCCUUUGCUAGAGCAGACGUGGGUCAAAGCGAGGGGAUGUCGAAGGCAUUCCCUGCCCUGCCAAGGUCUGUCCUUUCUCAAAAAACCCCAGGAACCUCAGCUGAAUCCCACGGAGUUUAUAAAAAGCCCUGCGGCCACUCCCUGCUACAGGCAGCAUGUGGGAACGCUUAGGGAAGGAGGCAAAGUGACUCCCCCACCUUAUAAUUAUGCUGGCUCUCCAUCAGGCCUCGUCAAAAGUCACCCAACCCCUAAUUAGCAGCAGUCCUCAGCAGCAGGGCAGGACAAAGGGACCCCUCCGUUCCCUCACCCCUGAUAACAGCCCUGUGGGCUGCACCUGGAUUUGGAUUUUGAUGGGGCUGGGGAUAAAGCCCAGCUCUGAGCCGCAUCUCAGAUGGCAUUAAAAGGGGUCUCCCCUCCCCCUAAAAAGGCAUCCUUUUAGUCCAGUUGCCAAAACGAGCUGGCUCUGGCCCAGGGAGGGCAAUAGGGAGGGAUAGCACAGAGCAAUGGGCUUGCAUCCUGCACUCAUCCCCUCUGUCCUUGCCUGGGGACCUGCUGGGGGACAUCUGCUUUACUGCAAUGAGUUUGCAAGUCUCAGCUCCCCUUGGAGGGGAUGACAUCUCAUCUGCUUGAGCAUGUCCCCACAGGGCCAAGAAACUUUUCUGCUUUCCCCUCGUCAGUCACUGGGUGGCUCUAAGGCUCACAGAGAUUAUUCUCUUGGCUGCGAAGAGCACGAUCAGAGUGGAAAAGCUGUAUUUAUAUUAUCCCUGUAGCACCCCCCCCCUGCACUG
RNA transcript from Harpia harpyja (harpy eagle), 4704 nucleotides. It is a transcript of the gene named protein-glucosylgalactosylhydroxylysine glucosidase, with no coding region annotated. The record is from RefSeq and is a predicted model, not a curated record. Lineage: Eukaryota; Metazoa; Chordata; Aves; Accipitriformes; Accipitridae. The transcript is spliced from 15 exons.